UGGGGAAUAUUGCACAAUGGGCGCAAGCCUGAUGCAGCCAUGCCGCGUGUGUGAAGAAGGCCUUCGGGUUGUAAAGCACUUUCAGCGGGGAGGAAGGCGGUGAGGCUAAUAACCUCAUCGAUUGACGUUACCCGCAGAAGAAGCACCGGCUAACUCCGUGCCAGCAGCCGCGGUAAUACGGAGGGUGCAAGCGUUAAUCGGAAUUACUGGGCGUAAAGCGCACGCAGGCGGUCUGUCAAGUCGGAUGUGAAAUCCCCGGGCUCAACCUGGGAACUGCAUCUGAUACUGGCAAGCUUGAGUCUCGUAGAGGGGGGUAGAAUUCCAGGUGUAGCGGUGAAAUGCGUAGAGAUCUGGAGGAAUACCGGUGGCGAAGGCGGCCCCCUGGACGAAGACUGACGCUCAGGUGCGAAAGCGUGGGGAGCAAACAGG
RNAcentral lists this ribosomal RNA (429 nucleotides) under Chloroflexota bacterium. RNAcentral's name for it is "Chloroflexi bacterium partial 16S ribosomal RNA". It matches the Rfam family "Bacterial small subunit ribosomal RNA", at positions 355 to 776 of the family's 1533-position model. Lineage: Bacteria; Bacillati; Chloroflexota. The record is from RNAcentral.